Molecule: long non-coding RNA, 4418 nt
Organism: Physeter macrocephalus (sperm whale)
Lineage: Eukaryota; Metazoa; Chordata; Mammalia; Artiodactyla; Physeteridae
Exons: 4
Source: RefSeq, a predicted model, not a curated record
AAAGUCUCCUCUCUCUGGGUGUGCAGAACACAUGCCCUAGAAAGGAAGAGAACUCGGUAAUGGUUUCUUAGGAGAAAUAAACCCCAAGUGGAAGUGGACAUUUGAGCAGAGUUUUAAAAGAAAAGUCAGGCUGGCAAACCGGAAGCCUCCUGGGGUGAGGUUGAACCUCUGCAAAGCUCUGGUUUCUCAUUGACCAUCUUGUUGUUCUCAGUUACAAAUCAGUCUGGACCUUCCCUGUUUUCUUCCAUCAUCCUCCAUCCUUAGAGAGAUCAUCUCAGCCCAGAGACAAAAAGCUAUUAUUCUGGUUUCUGGUUUGUAUUUUUUUAACUGCCUGAGAAGAUGUGCUGUCCGUCUCCUCGGGUAUAAAAUGGGGAUAACACCCCUAUCCUGGUAUGGUUGUUAUAAGGCUGGAACAUGAGGGGAAUUAAACAAAGUUGGGUUCCUGCCCCCUUACCAAAAAUACUUUGACUAAUUUCGAAUACUUUGUUCGUUCAGUGAUUAUUUAUUGAGCACCUACUAUGGGCCAGGAACUGUUCUGAGUACCGUAGAGGUAGCAGUGGAUAAGAUAAAGUUCCUGUCGUUGUAAGGCUGACUUUCUAUUGGGAAGAAAUAGGCGAGGACCUGAUAAGCAAAUAAAUAAUAUAAACUCAGAUCAUCAGUGAAGAUAACAAAUAGGACAAUAAAGUAAAGAAUGACUGUGGGGUUGGAAGGAUCACAUACACAUCUUUCCAUGCUAAGCUAAGAUUUUAAACCAGUGUGCUAAAUGUUCCCAUAAGUGAUCAAACUGAUAAAUACAGUGAUUAAUACUCCAGGACUGACUACUACCAGAUCGUCUUCCAGACCAUGGGUCCUGAAUUGGGGUGGCAGACCUUAGUCUCUACAUUCAAGUUGCAUUUGCAUAGCAGGCUGAUCAGAGGGCCCAGGUGUAACUUGCCAUCUCAGUAGACCCUGAUGUCCACAGAAGGGGGCCACAUAAGGUUAAACCCAGGGCCAGGUAUUUCAAGGGUGGCUGGCAGGGCUCUUUGCCUGGUUGUACACAGAACACCAAAAGUUAAACUAAGGUCUCUGACCCCUAGAUCCUUGGAGCCCCAGAGAGGCUAUUGCUUUGUGUAGAUGAAGCUAAAGCCAGAAUCGUGACUGAAUUACAGCCAGGAAACCACGUGUGGCAGCGGAACUGCUGGAGGUGUUGAGCCAGGACAGAGCAGCUCAUACCAUCUGAGUUGAGGCAUGAAUGAUGUGGAGCCAACCACGUGGAUUCCUGCAGAAGAGUCUUCCAGGCCAAGGGAAGAGCCAGUGUGGGGACCCACAGUUGAGGACAACGAGGAGACAAAGUCUGGUGUGGCUGCGGUUUGGGGACCAAGUCAGAGAGUGGCAUGUAAUGAGGUCAGAAAAGUCAGCAGCGUCCAGAACUGCAGAGCCCUGCAAGGAGUUUGAGUUUUAUUUCACGUGCAAUCGGGAGACUUCGAAGGGCAUUAAACAGGGUAGUCACGGGAUCCAAUAUAUGUUUUCCAAAGAUUGUUCUGGCUGUUGUGUGGAGAAUAGAAGUGGAGGGGCAAUGAGAAAUAGGGAGGGCUUCCCUGGUGGCGCAGUGGUUGAGAGUCCACCUGCCAGUGCGGGGGACGCGGGUUCGUGCCCCGGUCCGGGAAGAUCCCACGUGCCGCGGAGCGGCUGGGCCCGUGAGCCGUGGCCGCUGAGCCUGCGCGUCCGGAGCCUGUGCUCCGCAACGGGAGAGGCCGCAACAAUGAGAGGCCUGCGUACCGCGAAAAAAAAAAAAAAAAAAAAAAAAAAAGAGAGAAAUAGAGAGACCAGUUAGGAGGCGGGUGGGCGAGUGCAAGUGAGGGUGAUGGUGGCACGGACGAGGGAAGUGGAAGUGGAGAUGGAGGAGAAUGGAAGGAGUUAGGGUACAUGUUAGAAGUGGCACUGGCGGCACCUGCUGACAGGGUGUAAAGGAAAAGGAGAAAUCAAGGAAGCCAGCGGAUGCAAAGACUGGGGGGCAAACAGGUGUUUUAGCUGGAAAUGACAAGUUCAGUUUUAAAUACAGUAAGUUGACAUUGCUUGUGAGACAUAUAUUCCUUUAAACAUUCUCUGAUUUAGUCCAGGUUUGCCCCUAUUUGUCUGAAUUAAAUGAGCUUCCUAUGUCAUGCUCUAGAAACUCCACUCAAGUUCCUGCCUGAGAUUCUGGACAAGAGUUGGUUGUUCUUUAAUGGCAACAGUGAUAUCAUAGACUUGAGAAGAUGUCCUAAUUUCCCAUUUAGAGAGGCCCUCCUGGUCUCUGGUUGUGCUCAGCUUUUCUUUCCCUUUAUAGACCUCCCCGGGGCAUCUGCAUUGCAGAGGGGAGAGGCAGUGGGGCAGGUAGACCAAGGACACCCAGAAGGCAGAGAGACAACUGGGUCAUAGACCCCAACAUGUGACCCUCAGUUACCCUGGAUUGGGUGGUUAGCGUUUGGGCUUCUUUCUGUUUAGGUUGGGGAUAGACAGUGGAUAAUCAAAGAAAAAGAGAGCAUAUGAGAUGAGAUGUUUAGUUUGCAGAAAGUUGAGGUGGGAGAGAAAGCCAGCAGCCCGUCAGGAAAGAGGGGAGGGAGUCAGGAUUGCCUGUGCACCUGAUGGAAAGAACCCAGCGGAGGGUCUUGAACCAAAUAGAUGAGCUCAUUUCCUCGAGGACCAGGAAUCUGGAGAAAGGAUGCAUUCUAAUUUGAGUGUGGAAGAUACAGGUUAUAACUAUGAAGAGAUGUGAGCUUCCCAGAUAAGCAGGUAGCAGAAGAUCUGGGCUGAGGGUAGAGGGUAGAUUUCAAGGACUAAGCUAUGCAGUCUAGCUUUGUUUUCAGUUUUUUGUUUUGUUUUGUCUUUUUCUGUUCUUGUUGUUUAGUGCAAACUAAAGCAAUCUCUAGAGGCAAAUGACCUGAAUGCUUAAGACCAUAUAUAUGGUUUUUCCCCAAGGAUCUUUAUAUCACUGAUAUUCCUACUGUCAUCACAAGGCUGGAAUUUAGUGUCUGCUCACUAAUUUCAAUUCCUGAAAUGGUAAAGACCAUGGGCACUGGAGUCAGAGAACUUGGGUUUGAAUCCUGACCCUGCCAUCUACUAUGAAAUUGGACAUGUUACUUAGACCCUCUUUAUCUCAACUACUUCAUCUUUAAAAUGGGGUCAGCGGACUUCCCUGGAGGGCCAAUGGUUAAGACUCCAUGCUUCCAAUGCAGGGGAGACGGGUUCAAUCCCUGAUCCCACCUGCCUCGUGCCCUACUCCCACCACCAAAAUGGGAGCCAUGAUAGUCCCUACCCAAUAGAGCUGUGGUGAGGAUAAAAGGAGUGAAUGCAUGUUAAGCCCUUGAAGUAGUGCCUGGCACCUAUUAAGCCCACUAAAAUUCCAUUUCUUAUAGGAAAAGAACAGAGGAGAAAACGGGCCAACAAGUUGUAGCUCCUUAGUCCCCCAAGUUUUCUGUGAGAUCGAAGAAGAGGCCAGAGUAAACAUAGGUGAUUUAUCACGUCAUCUUGGCAUGCUGGCAUGAGUACCUGGGGACCCACUGGAUCCUACAUUAGAAGAAGGGGAGGCUUGUGGGAUCUUAGUUCCCUGACCAGGGAUCGAACCCGUGCCCCCUGCAUUGGAAGGGCGGAGUCUUAACCGCUGGACCACCAGGGAAGUACCUGAGAUACGGUACCUGGAACAGCAGUGGCCACCGUGCAGCCCUGGGGAAGCCCAGCUGGAGCAAUGCCAGUGCCCUGAGGAUGACUGACUAGGAGGACAAGAACAGCUUAGGGCUCUGAUGGCCUUGCAAAGUCAGUCACUGGCUUAACCAAACCCAAGGAGUUCUACCAGGACCUCUUUUAUGUGAGAUGAUUCAUUUUCUUUACUGCUCUAAGCUGAUCAGUUUGGACUUUUCUGUUACUUGCAGCAGAAGCACUAGAACCAAUAACAAUGGCAAUUCACACCGUUUCUUACCAUCCCAGUGAGGAAAGUAGAUGGUCAGAGCAGAGCACUCACGUUACAUCACUCUAAGCUAUAAUGUAAUCAGUGCCCCUGGAGUUGCACAAAGCAGGUUCCGGAAAGCAGGGAGUGAGCAAAUCGCUUCAUUUGAGUCACCGAGGGGAUCAAGAAGAAAGCCAGGAAGAAGGCAGCCAAGACGGUGGCUUCCUCCUUGAAGGUCAGCUGGAGCAUGGAGCCUGGCUCAGCCAGCUCUCAUUCCUUUUGCCCAUAAACUUGGGCCACUUCACUCUACAUCUCGAAGCUUCAGCUUUUCUUAUCUGUAAGAUAUAUGCCUCGCAGGUUGCUGUGAGAAUACAAAAUAAUGCAUGAUAAUUCAUGUAGUGUGGUGCUAACAGCCCAUGCACUAUGGGCAUUCAGUAAAGGCAGCUUUUAUUUUAACAAGCGUGAUGAUUCCCAAACUUUUUCUGCCUCAGGUCUUUGAUGGUAGCAAAGACCCUCU